RNAcentral lists this ribosomal RNA (466 nucleotides) under uncultured bacterium. RNAcentral describes it as "partial 16S ribosomal RNA". It matches the Rfam family "Bacterial small subunit ribosomal RNA", at positions 28 to 507 of the family's 1533-position model. The record is from RNAcentral.
GACGAACGCUGGCGGCGUGCUUAACACAUGCAAGUCGAACGGUAAGGCUCCAGCUUGCUGGGGUACACGAGUGGCGAACGGGUGAGUAACACGUGGGUGACCUGCCCUGCACUUCGGGAUAAGUCUGGGAAACUGGGUCUAAUACCGGAUAGGACCAUGGUGUGGAUACUGUGGUGGAAAGUUUUUUCGGUGUGGGAUGGGCCCGCGGCCUAUCAGCUUGUUGGUGGGGUAAUGGCCUACCAAGGCGGCGACGGGUAGCCGGCCUGAGAGGGUGGACGGCCACAUUGGGACUGAGACACGGCCCAGACUCCUACGGGAGGCAGCAGUGGGGAAUAUUGCACAAUGGGCGGAAGCCUGAUGCAGCGACGCCGCGUGGGGGAUGACGGCCUUCGGGUUGUAAACUCCUUUCACCAUCGACGAAGGGUUUCUGACGGUAGAUGGAGAAGAAGCACCGGCUAACUACGUG